UGGCUCUGAGGGCAGCCAGGGAGACAAGACCAUAGAAGCUGUUCAGGCUAGACUCAAACGUUACAAUUCUACGGCCUCAGCUUCCCGAACACUGGAAAUGCAGCUUGUCGAAAAAGGUACCCUUGUGUAGAUCAAGCAGGACCCAGAAUUGGCAGACUUCGACUUCCUUGUGAGUGUAGACCUGAGUCCUGCAAAGGGUGGCACUUGUUCCUUCC
Molecule: long non-coding RNA, 215 nt
Organism: Mastomys coucha (southern multimammate mouse)
Lineage: Eukaryota; Metazoa; Chordata; Mammalia; Rodentia; Muridae
Exons: 3
Source: RefSeq, a predicted model, not a curated record